RNAcentral lists this ribosomal RNA (433 nucleotides) under uncultured bacterium. Its description in RNAcentral is "partial 16S ribosomal RNA". It matches the Rfam family "Bacterial small subunit ribosomal RNA", at positions 29 to 507 of the family's 1533-position model. The record is from RNAcentral.
AACGAACGCUGGCGGCAUGCCUAACACAUGCAAGUCGAACGAGACCUUCGGGUCUAGUGGCGCACGGGUGCGUAACGCGUGGGAACCUGCCCUUAGGUUCGGAAUAACUCCCCGAAAGGGGUGCUAAUACCGGAUAAUGUCUUCGGACCAAAGAUUUAUCGCCUUUGGAUGGGCCCGCGUUGGAUUAGCUAGUUGGUAGGGUAAAAGCCUACCAAGGCGACGAUCCAUAGCUGGUCUGAGAGGAUGAUCAGCCACACUGGGACUGAGACACGGCCCAGACUCCUACGGGAGGCAGCAGUGGGGAAUAUUGGACAAUGGGCGAAAGCCUGAUCCAGCAAUGCCGCGUGAGUGAUGAAGGCCUUAGGGUUGUAAAUCUCUUUUACCCGGGAUGAUAAUGACAGUACCGGGAGAAUAAGCUCCGGCUAACUCCGUG